RNAcentral lists this ribosomal RNA (639 nucleotides) under uncultured Actinomycetes bacterium. RNAcentral's name for it is "bacterial SSU rRNA". It matches the Rfam family "Bacterial small subunit ribosomal RNA", at positions 232 to 885 of the family's 1533-position model. The record is from RNAcentral. Lineage: Bacteria; Bacillati; Actinomycetota; Actinomycetes.
CGCGGCCUAUCAGCUUGUUGGUGAGGUAACGGCUCACCAAGGCUUCGACGGGUAGCUGGUCUGAGAGGACGAUCAGCCACACUGGGACUGAGACACGGCCCAGACUCCUACGGGAGGCAGCAGUUAGGAAUCUUGCACAAUGGGGGAAACCCUGAUGCAGCGACGCCGCGUGCGGGACGAAGGCCCUCGGGUCGUAAACCGCUUUCAGCAGGAACGAAAUUGACGGUACCUGCAGAAGAAGCCCCGGCCAACUACGUGCCAGCAGCCGCGGUAAUACGUAGGGGGCGAGCGUUGUCCGGAUUCAUUGGGCGUAAAGAGCUCGUAGGCGGUUCGGUAAGUCGGGUGUGAAAUCUCCGUGCUCAACACGGAGCGGCCACCUGAUACUGCCGUGACUCGAGUCCGGUAGGGGAGUGUGGAAUUCCCGGUGUAGCGGUGAAAUGCGCAGAUAUCGGGAGGAACACCAGUAGUGAAGGCGGCACUCUGGGCCGUGACUGACGCUGAGGAGCGAAAGCGUGGGUAGCAAACAGGAUUAGAUACCCUGGUAGUCCACGCCGUAAACGUUGGGCACUAGGUGUGGGUCUCUAUCGACGGGAUCCGUGCCGUAGCUAACGCAUUAAGUGCCCCGCCUGGGGAGUACGG